This 423-nucleotide ribosomal RNA is filed under the name uncultured bacterium. Its description in RNAcentral is "partial 16S ribosomal RNA". It matches the Rfam family "Bacterial small subunit ribosomal RNA", at positions 359 to 774 of the family's 1533-position model. The record is from RNAcentral.
GAAUUUUGGACAAUGGGCGAAAGCCUGAUCCAGCAAUGCCGCGUGCAGGAUGAAGGCCUUCGGGUUGUAACCUGCUUUUGUACGGAACGAAAAGCUUUUGGUUAAUAACCUGGAGUCAUUACGGUACCACCAGAAGACGCACCGGCUAACUACGUUCCUGCAGCCGCGGUAAUACGUAGGGUGCAAGCGUUCAUCGGAAUUACUGGGCGUAAAGCGUGCGCAGGCGGUUUUGUAAGACAGAGGUGAAAUCCCCGGGCUCAACCUGGGAACUGCCUUUGUGACUGCAAGGCUAGAGUACGGCAGAGGGGGGUGGAAUUCCGCGUGUAGCAGUGAAAUGCGUAGAUAUGCGGAGGAACACCGAUGGCGAAGGCAACCCCCUGGGCCUGUACUGACGCUCAUGCACGAAAGCGUGGGGAGCAAACA